UGAAUUGACGGGGCCCGCACAAGCGGUGGAGCAUGUGGUUUAAUUCGAAGCAACGCGAAGAACCUUACCAGGUCUUGACAUCCCCUGACAACCCAAGAGAUUGGGCGUUCCCCUUCGGGGGGACAGGGUGACAGGUGGUGCAUGGUUGUCGUCAGCUCGUGUCGUGAGAUGUUGGGUUAAGUCCCGCAACGAGCGCAACCCUCGCCUCUAGUUGCCAGCAUUCGGUUGGGCACUCUAGAGGGACUGCCGGCGACAAGUCGGAGGAAGUGGGGAUGACGUCAAAUCAUCAUGCCCCUUAUGACCUGGGCUACACACGUGCUACAAUGGGCGGUACAAAGGGCUGCGAACCCGCGAGGGGGAGCGAAUCCCAAAAAGCCGCUCUCAGUUCGGAUUGCAGGCUGCAACUCGCCUGCAUGAAGCCGGAAUCGCUAGUAAUCGCGGAUCAGCAUGCCGCGGUCGAAUACGUUCCCGGGCCUU
This 477-nucleotide ribosomal RNA is filed under the name uncultured Geobacillus sp. Its description in RNAcentral is "bacterial SSU rRNA". It matches the Rfam family "Bacterial small subunit ribosomal RNA", at positions 907 to 1382 of the family's 1533-position model. Lineage: Bacteria; Bacillati; Bacillota; Bacilli; Caryophanales; Anoxybacillaceae. The record is from RNAcentral.